This 71-nucleotide transfer RNA is filed under the name Bacteroidales bacterium. Its description in RNAcentral is "tRNA-Gln". It matches the Rfam family "tRNA". Rfam says of the family: Transfer RNA (tRNA) molecules are approximately 80 nucleotides in length. Lineage: Bacteria; Pseudomonadati; Bacteroidota; Bacteroidia; Bacteroidales. The record is from RNAcentral.
UGACCCAUGGUGUAAUGGUAACACAUCUGAUUUUGGUUCAGACGUUUAAGGUUCGAGUCCUUAUGGGUCAA